This 371-nucleotide ribosomal RNA is filed under the name uncultured bacterium. RNAcentral's name for it is "bacterial SSU rRNA". It matches the Rfam family "Bacterial small subunit ribosomal RNA", at positions 30 to 399 of the family's 1533-position model. The record is from RNAcentral.
AUUGAACGCUGGCGGCAGGCCUAACACAUGCAAGUCGAGCGGAUGAGUGGAGCUUGCUCCAUGAUUCAGCGGCGGACGGGUGAGUAAUGCCUAGGAAUCUGCCUGGUAGUGGGGGACAACGUUUCGAAAGGAACGCUAAUACCGCAUACGUCCUACGGGAGAAAGCAGGGGACCUUCGGGCCUUGCGCUAUCAGAUGAGCCUAGGUCGGAUUAGCUAGUAGGUGAGGUAAUGGCUCACCUAGGCGACGAUCCGUAACUGGUCUGAGAGGAUGAUCAGUCACACUGGAACUGAGACACGGUCCAGACUCCCUACGGGAGGCAGCAGUGGGGGAAUAUUGGACAAUGGGCGAAAGCCUGAUCCAGCCAUGCCG